Molecule: ribosomal RNA, 497 nt
Filed under: uncultured bacterium
Lineage: Bacteria
Description: partial 16S ribosomal RNA
Rfam family: Bacterial small subunit ribosomal RNA
Source: RNAcentral
GAUGAACGCUGGCGGCGUGCCUAAUGCAUGCAAGUCGAGCGAACGGACGAGAAGCUUGCUUCUCUGAUGUUAGCGGCGGACGGGUGAGUAACACGUGGAUAACCUACCUAUAAGACUGGGAUAACUUCGGGAAACCGGAGCUAAUACCGGAUAAUAUUUUGAACCGCAUGGUUCAAAAGUGAAAGACGGUCUUGCUGUCACUUAUAGAUGGAUCCGCGCUGCAUUAGCUAGUUGGUAAGGUAACGGCUUACCAAGGCAACGAUGCAUAGCCGACCUGAGAGGGUGAUCGGCCACACUGGAACUGAGACACGGUCCAGACUCCUACGGGAGGCAGCAGUAGGGAAUCUUCCGCAAUGGGCGAAAGCCUGACGGAGCAACGCCGCGUGAGUGAUGAAGGUCUUCGGAUCGUAAAACUCUGUUAUUAGGGAAGAACAUAUGUGUAAGUAACUGUGCACAUCUUGACGGUACCUAAUCAGAAAGCCACGGCUAACUACGUG